This 74-nucleotide microRNA precursor is filed under the name Pelobates cultripes (western spadefoot toad). The record is from RNAcentral. Lineage: Eukaryota; Metazoa; Chordata; Amphibia; Anura; Pelobatidae.
GUGUGUGUGUGUGUGUGUGUGUGUGUAUCUAUCUAUCUAUAGAUAGAUAGAUACACACACACACACACACACAG